AGGUCGUGAUGUGGACAAUUGAGUAAUAAAUCCUUGUAUCUCUCUAAUGCCUCAUAUAAUGAUUCACCCUCAAAUUUUUGUGAAGGUAGUGAUAUUAUUCCUUAACUU
Molecule: small nucleolar RNA, 108 nt
Organism: Juglans regia (Persian walnut)
Lineage: Eukaryota; Viridiplantae; Streptophyta; Magnoliopsida; Fagales; Juglandaceae
Source: RefSeq, a predicted model, not a curated record